AAAACAUAGUAUAAUCUAAUACAUUCCGCUUACACUGGAAAUAUAUUCAACUAUUGAUUUGUUUU
Molecule: transfer RNA, 65 nt
Filed under: Conasprella ximenes
Lineage: Eukaryota; Metazoa; Mollusca; Gastropoda; Neogastropoda; Conidae
Description: transfer RNA-Val
Source: RNAcentral